UACGUAGGAGACGAGCGUUGUCCGGAAUCACUGGGCGUAAGGCGCGUGUAGGCGGGUCCGCAAGUCUGCUGUGAAAACUCCUGGCUUAACCGGGAGAGGGCGGUGGAAACUGCGAACCUGGAGGACGGUAGAGGCUGGUGGAAUUCCCGGUGUAGUGGUGAAAUGCGUAGAGAUCGGGAGGAACACCUGUGGCGAAGGCGGCCAGCUGGGCCGGACCUGACGCUGAGACGCGAAGGCGUGGGGAGCGAACGGG
RNAcentral lists this ribosomal RNA (253 nucleotides) under uncultured bacterium. RNAcentral describes it as "partial 16S ribosomal RNA". It matches the Rfam family "Bacterial small subunit ribosomal RNA", at positions 524 to 776 of the family's 1533-position model. The record is from RNAcentral.